Molecule: ribosomal RNA, 497 nt
Filed under: uncultured bacterium
Lineage: Bacteria
Description: partial 16S ribosomal RNA
Rfam family: Bacterial small subunit ribosomal RNA
Source: RNAcentral
GAUGAACGCUGGCGGCGUGCCUAAUACAUGCAAGUCGAGCGAACAGACGAGGAGCUUGCUCCUCUGACGUUAGCGGCGGACGGGUGAGUAACACGUGGAUAACCUACCUAUAAGACUGGGAUAACUUCGGGAAACCGGAGCUAAUACCGGAUAAUAUAUUGAACCGCAUGGUUCAAUAGUGAAAGACGGUUUUGCUGUCACUUAUAGAUGGAUCCGCGCCGCAUUAGCUAGUUGGUAAGGUAACGGCUUACCAAGGCGACGAUGCGUAGCCGACCUGAGAGGGUGAGCGGCCACACUGGAACUGAGACACGGUCCAGACUCCUACGGGAGGCAGCAGUAGGGAAUCUUCCGCAAUGGGCGAAAGCCUGACGGAGCAACGCCGCGUGAGUGAUGAAGGUCUUCGGAUCGUAAAACUCUGUUAUUAGGGAAGAACAAAUGUGUAAGUAACUUUGCACGUCUUGACGGUACCUAAUCAGAAAGCCACGGCUAACUACGUG